UGGGAUUUAAGCAAUAGUAUAUUUGGCGUAUAUUGACGACUUUAUGUAUUAUCAGAGGUAUUCAUAUACCAUAACUUGCCUUAUCUAUCCCCAAAUCUAAAACCUCCAUAAUAUAUCAAGCUCACAAAUGUUAAGUAGAUGAAAAACACGACUGGAAGGGAGAACAGAUUGAGCAUGUAAAAUGGAACCUAGAAUAAAAACAUAAAAAUAAAGGCAUAAAGAUCAAUGUACUUAAAAAUCAGUCAAUAAUGUACUUCCAAUCUUCUUGCAUAUUGAUUUCAUACAUUUAUCAUAUUUCAGGCUUUGGAAUAAGAUGAAGUCACCCAAACUCCAUUGUGAAAUCUAGUCUCCUCACAAUCCGUCUGACCUCAGAGAGGCAAACAGUGAGUAAUUCAAAAUAUUUUUGAAUGAAAGUGUCAGUUUAAGAUCCUCAGCAUAAAACAUACCUACAAAGCCUAUUUGCAAAGUAAAUUUACUCUGGAUUCUUGAUACCUAUGAAAGUUUUUUCUAUUAUAUUUAUUUAAAAUUACAACAGUUUACAUUAGAAACAAGCUCAAACAAUUAAGGUAAAAGAUAAAUAACUGCAUACAGUUUAAUUUUACAAAAUGCAAACAUACAUCUUUCAUUGUUCCAUUAUCUGAGUAUUAAGCGCCACAUAAUUGCACGAGGCAUUUUCAAAUGUCUUAAAGGCUCUAAAAUUACAGAGUUGACUUUUGUGAAAUAGUCUUUAUUUUCCUCCGUUAUUAUACAAAUAAUUGACCACACAGAUUAAAUUUAAAUCGGAAUUGGAUAUGCCCCCUACAGAGUUCAUUUCUCUUGUGCAGCUAAAGGUUGGCAGCUUAUGAUGGCUCACAGAGCUUACUCAGGCCCUUGUGGGAUACAGAAUGGGGCUCACAUUUUCAUGAUUUAGGAUGUCUCGGCUGGGAGAGACCUGAGAAUCCCCUGGGAUCACAUCACAUCUAGUUUUGCCCAAGGCCACCUCCUUGCUAGCUAACCCAAGCUAAUUCUAAUAGUGCUCCUUUUCACUCUGAGAAAUGUCUGUUUGGGAGAUGGUACAGAUGAGGAAAUGGAAGCCUCAGGAUGUAGGUUCUCUGGACCAGACUCCUGCAGCAGAGACCUGUGUUUCCUCCUGGGGAUUCAGAAACCCAAGUCCCCCUGCCUUCAGAGGCGCUGCCACCCUACAUUGUGGGACCGAGGUGGGGAAGCAAAGGAGCCAUUGCUUUCAUCCUCGCCGUAGAAUGGAAAACAAUUCAUCAUCAUCAAAAUUACUCACCAAACCUGAGAGGAUGGCAGAAGAAAACAUGUUUACAUUAUUUUUUCUUUCAUUAAAAAGCAACACGUGUUUUUGCCAAUCGAUUGGAAAACACAGAUACAGAAAAAGGUAAACAAUUCAAAGAAAACUCCCUCUUCUAGAAAUAGUUAACAGUUACUAAUUGUAAAGACACAUAGGAGUUUCAGGAAGUGACUCCAAUUCUUGGUGUAAGAGAAUAUUUUCAUGGUGUGUUCCACUUUGAGAAACUUGAUCUGGUGACUCAGAAUUAUUUCUGAAACAAUACCCCCUUCCCCCACCCUCAACUCAAUUUCUUCUAAUUACUCUCUGAGAUAUUUGCCUCUGACACUCACAAGGGAAGAAGGGGAGAGGGAAGGAAGAAGAGAGGAGGAAUAACUUUAAUUUUAAUUGCCAAUAUGCCAAGAGUGGAAAGAUGGACCUGGGUCUCCUCUGGUACAGUAUCAGGACUGCAUGGCACACGGUGGCAAGGCCCAUGCCGGAUGCCCAGUGUCAGACGCCAUGCUGGGAGGAGGGGAACCUUCUGAAUGGACAGCCCUGCUCAACUCCUUGGGCCUAAUGUGGACUGGGAAAAUAGAUCUGAUUCCACCCCUGUUUCUGCAGUACUCAACACGACGCCAGGCCUGUACUGGGUGUUCAAUGUAUUUUUCUUGAAUGAGUUAAUGAGGAUGAUUUUCACAAAUUUGUUGUUGUUGGGCUCAUUCUAGUCCAAGUUAGAAAUAUAGAUCAAAGUGUUUCCAGGUGGUUUCAAAUUUAUUUUCUUCCUGCAAAUGUGUAUGAACAUCCAAUUAGUCUGUCAGACACUGGAGAUACCAGGGUGCAUAGGAAAAGGUAACUACUUUUGAGGAUCCCAGAGUCACCUAAAUAACCAAAUACCAGAGAGAACGUGGUGUAGUUGACCGAUUUAGUGAGACAUCCUUGGGUUCAAAUCCUAGCUCUGUAUUCACUAGUUUUGUAAUCUUGAGCAAGUUAUUUAUUAUUUUUAAUGUCCUUUCAGCAGGGCUGACGAUAAUGUUAAUUCAUAGGUUGUUUGAGGAUUAAAUGUGAUAACUGACGUAAAGCCCUUGGAAGACUGCCCAGCACAUGGCAAGCCUUAGAUGAAGGCGACUGCUACUACAAUUUAACAGCUGUGCAAUCUUGGGCAGGUGAUACUUGCUGCAUCUGUUUACAUAGGUGGAAAAUGAGGAUGGUAGCACAAUGAUUCAUCGUGACUCUUAAACGGCAAGACUUUUGUUGUUUGCAUGUGACUACAAGGUAUGGUACUGCUCAGAGCCUGUCCCAGAUCUCCUGGAUGAUGAAUAUGUGAGGAACAAAUAUGUGAAUUCUAUGUUUCACUGUUGCAACCUCAUUACAUCCUCAGAAUAAACUUGAGAAAUAGGCGUUAUGAUAUCCACUCAGCUGAUGAAGAAAUUGAGAGGAUGCUGGUUCAAAAUGUACGGAGUGGCCAAUCGAUUUAUUGCUGUGCAGGAAAAGGAAUGGCAUACAGAAGACUCCCCGGAAGAUUCUCAUCAAGCAAAGUCAAUUAGACUUGCUGCAGCAUGGGAGAAGAUUGCCUUGCAAGUCUUAACAUCUCAGAAUAAGAAAGUCAUGGGAGGGCAUCUGUAGAGUUUUGGGGCCUGGACAGUUUUGACAUAAUAGCUGUAGAUUGGUGGGAAUAGUCAGGCCAGGGUUUUGAAGUGAGUUUUGGUGAGCAAGUGUUAUUCUUGAUUAAUAAGCUAUUUAGUUGAUUCAGAGUCUUAUCUCCCAGGAUAAGGAUAUUCCUGGAGCAGAAACUCUUUCUGCCUAUUCCUGUAUUGUUUAGCACAGGCACAGGAAAGUGUACUAGCUUCAGUAUUGUUCAACAGAUCUUGGGAAAUCAUCUUGGCUUCAGUUCUCAAGAAGGAUAAAUUACUUGCACUGAGAUAAAAAUGUAGAAUGUGACCUCUAGGACUAAUUAAAGGGUAUGUAUGCAAUCGCCACCAAUUUCAAAUUCCAGUGCAAUUGCCUUUCAAGAACUCCAAAUGCCUCAUUUCUGUAAACUUCCACCCAGACAUGAUGUGCUGAGCUGAUGAGCUCCGUGACAAGUUGAAGACACUCAAGAAUGUGCCUUUAGAGAUCAGUUGUUAAACACAGUGGUCAAGAUUCCUAGAGUCCACAAACUCCUGGGAGGAUCAUGGGUAAGAACGUUGAGUUAAUCAAUUUCCUUUAGACACCAGUGAGAAUCAGAGCUAAAAGUAAUAAUUUGUCUCUAAAAAUAAAGAAAAUUGUAUUUUUUUGCAUA
Molecule: long non-coding RNA, 3548 nt
Organism: Sapajus apella (tufted capuchin)
Lineage: Eukaryota; Metazoa; Chordata; Mammalia; Primates; Cebidae
Exons: 3
Source: RefSeq, a predicted model, not a curated record